Molecule: small RNA, 103 nt
Filed under: Escherichia coli
Lineage: Bacteria; Pseudomonadati; Pseudomonadota; Gammaproteobacteria; Enterobacterales; Enterobacteriaceae
Description: partial RtT sRNA
Rfam family: RtT RNA
About the family: This family represents a bacterial cis-regulatory element known as RtT RNA. The exact function of RtT is unknown although it is thought that it may be involved in changing the cellular response in relation to amino acid starvation.
Source: RNAcentral
CUUUGACUAAGGUUCGACUCGAGCGCCAGCGAGAGAGCGUUGCCGCAGGCAACGACCCGUAGGGCGAAGCGCGCAGCGCUGAGUAAUCCUUCCCCCACCACCA